Molecule: ribosomal RNA, 302 nt
Filed under: uncultured bacterium
Lineage: Bacteria
Description: partial 16S ribosomal RNA
Rfam family: Bacterial small subunit ribosomal RNA
Source: RNAcentral
GCAGUAGCCGCGGUAAUACGGAGGGGGCUAGCGUUGUUCGGAAUUACUGGGCGUAAAGCGCACGUAGGCGGCUUGGUAAGUUAGAGGUGAAAGCCCGGAGCUCAACUCCGGAAUUGCCUUUAAGACUGCCGAGCUAGUAGGUGAGAGAGGUAAGUGGAAUUCCGAGUGUAGAGGUGAAAUUCGUAGAUAUUGGGAAGAACACCGGUGGCGAAGGCGGCAACCUGGUCCUUGACUGACGCUGAGGCGCGAAAGCGUGGGGAGCAAACAGGAUUAGAUACCCCCGUAGUCCCUGUCUCUUAUAC